UCUAUCCCAGGUACAUUGGCUUUCAGGAAUUCGAGAAAUGUCUCUGUAUCUAUCGAUUGGAACUUGAAGGUGGCAAUAUACUUCUUCAGGAAUUCAUCAAAUGCAGGUCGGCCAAUCUAGUACAAUUAACAGGCAUAGAACAGUGCACAGUCACAGUUAGUCGUUGAAUUCUUACUGAUUUCAUCAGAUAACGGUGCAAAUAAGUGUAAAGCAAAUCUUGUGUUAUACCCACCUGGCGUUCGAUGCGCCAAAGGAACUGGAAGCCUUUCUCAUAGGGCACUUCUGAGUACACAUCAUCAGGAUCAAUCCCUGCCAUCUUCGGCUUGAGCUUGGUGAACUCCAUGUUAUCCUUAAAUCUCUCCAUCAUUCUAUUCAACCCUCUCCAUCCAAUUCCGCUGUUUAAGGCCGCCCG
RNAcentral lists this long non-coding RNA (412 nucleotides) under Hordeum vulgare. Its description in RNAcentral is "long non-coding RNA (HVUL_LNC014233)". The record is from RNAcentral. Lineage: Eukaryota; Viridiplantae; Streptophyta; Magnoliopsida; Poales; Poaceae.